GAUGAACGCUGGCGGCGUGCCUAAUACAUGCAAGUCGUGCGAACAGACAAGUUGCUUGCUCCACUGACGUUAACGGCGGAAGGGUGAGUAACACGUGGAGAACCUACCUAUAAGACAGGGAUAACUUAGGGAAACCGGUGCUAAUACCGGGUAAUAUAUGGAACCGCAUGGUUCAAUAGUGAAAGACGGUUUUGCUGUAACUGAUAGAUGGAUCCGCGCCGCAUGAGCUAUGUGGUAAGGUAACGGCUUACCGAGGCGACGAUGCGUAGCCGACCGGAGAGCGUGAUGGCGCACUCUGGAACUGAGCGGCGGCACAGGCUCCGACGGACGGCAGAGAUACGGACUCGACCGAGCAGGGCGAAAGCUUGCAGGAGGAACGCCGCCCGAGUGAUGCAGCUCUUCGGAUCGUAAAACGCUGUCCUGAGGGAAGACCAAAUGCGUAAGUAACGAUGCACGUUGUGACGGUACCUGCAGAGAAAGCACCGGCUAACUACGUG
RNAcentral lists this ribosomal RNA (497 nucleotides) under uncultured bacterium. Its description in RNAcentral is "partial 16S ribosomal RNA". It matches the Rfam family "Bacterial small subunit ribosomal RNA", at positions 28 to 507 of the family's 1533-position model. The record is from RNAcentral.